This 1490-nucleotide long non-coding RNA is filed under the name Helianthus annuus (common sunflower). The record is from RNAcentral. Lineage: Eukaryota; Viridiplantae; Streptophyta; Magnoliopsida; Asterales; Asteraceae.
GAUAAUAGAAAGAGAGUUCACAGAUUUUAGAGAGAGAGAGAGAGAAGAGAGACACGGUGGAAGGACCACCGUUUCUGGUGGUAAACCCGGCUGUGCACGGCAGCGCCUCUCACUUCCGACGCAUAAACGACCGCCAUGGCGGCGGUGAGUUGUAGAGUUGUACUUCAGGUGAAGUCCGGCCAGUCUCCGGCGAAGAUCCGGUAAGUAUUUUAUUGUACUGCAUGUUAAAUUUCCAGUUAGAUCUGCUCUUGAUUUGUUGUUUGAGACUUUUUUUGGUAAUACAUAAUUCCGGCAAGAAUCCGGUCAAGUUACGACCAAGGUCCGAUGAACGAAAGUCUACCUUCAUGUCUUGGAUCAUAAUCUGGGUAUAAUUUUGGUAGAUCGGGUAUGGAGCUCAUGGCUUGUAUUGUCGACUAGGGUUCCAGUUUAGGUGUUUUGAAACCAGAUCGUUUCACCAUCGCUCUCACUCAUUUCCCCUUCCAGUUUCACAACCCAAAAAAAACCCUAAACGUCGUGGGCGAACCGACCACCAUCGUCUUCCUCUUACGGCUCAUCUUCUUCUUUCCACGGCUACUCUCUAUAGUUGGGGAACUUCCGGCCGAAAAAGUCAAAUACAAACUCAAAUACAUCGUCGAAAACGCUAAUGUAGUCUACAGACUCGAAGUAAUCACACGCGAUAAUAACAUGCCAACAUCUUAGUUGUAAGUGCUCAACCCUAAUUUUAUGCUCAAAUUGAUUACUUUUGACGAGACGACGAUUAUGUUUGUCAUUUGAAGUUUGGGUUUGUGUUAAUUUCUUCGCCUCUUAUGUCGGGUGCUGAAUCGAUUAAGCGUGCGCUUUAUUGUCCGGUAACACGAAUAACGGCGUGCACAAAUGUAGAUGGAGAAGAAUAACAUAGAUGAUAGGUCAUUGUAAUCAAGCUGUAUAAAGCCAAAAAAUGUCAUAUUAUUCCACUGGAAAUCUUAAAUACAUCUUUCAACAUGUUCAAAUUCGUAUAUCAUGUUUCUUUGGAUAUGUUUUACAUGGAAAGUGCAGUUUGAGCUACGUUACAUGAUUUGGUAUUGUGGAAGUCGAGCUUCGCAAAUCAAAGAGAUGUGGGCUAAAGGAUACAUGUCUUGAUGAUAUACUGGUAUACUUGCACCAAUCUUGAAGACAACACAACAAGUGUCCAGCUGUACUUGAGCAAAGAUUCUCUAGAAGCUUCCAUCACAACUUCCAAGGCAAGUGAAGUUAAUGUGAUGGUACCUCCCAAAGAUCCCAAUGCUGAUAUGGCGGAACAUCCUAUGCCACAUCAGUACAUUCACCCACUUACCAGGAUGGCCACUUUGUUACAACCCCUGUAUCCCACUCUGGAGCGUAAUUGGGUUUUCUGUAGAUUUGGAUAUGGAGAGUAAAAGCAAUUGUUUGACAGUUAAUAUAAAGGUUGUACUACAUGGUUUCCUUAUUAUGCAUCAUUUUUGCUUUGAAAACAUGAAGUCUUAACACAUAUU